This 1346-nucleotide ribosomal RNA is filed under the name uncultured bacterium. RNAcentral's name for it is "partial 16S ribosomal RNA". It matches the Rfam family "Bacterial small subunit ribosomal RNA", at positions 28 to 1382 of the family's 1533-position model. The record is from RNAcentral.
GACGAACGCUGGUGGCGUGCUUACACAUGCAAGUCGAACGGAAAGGCCCUGCUUUUGUGGGGUGCUCGAGUGGCGAACGGGUGAGUAACACGUGAGUAACCUGCCCUUGACUUUGGGAUAACUUCAGGAAACUGGGGCUAAUACCGGAUAGGAGCUCCUGCUGCAUGGUGGGGGUUGGAAAGUUUCGGCGGUUGGGGAUGGACUCGCGGCUUAUCAGCUUGUUGGUGGGGUAGUGGCUUACCAAGGCUUUGACGGGUAGCCGGCCUGAGAGGGUGACCGGCCACAUUGGGACUGAGAUACGGCCCAGACUCCUACGGGAGGCAGCAGUGGGGAAUAUUGCACAAUGGGCGGAAGCCUGAUGCAGCAACGCCGCGUGCGGGAUGACGGCCUUCGGGUUGUAAACCGCUUUCGCCUGUGACGAAGCGUGAGUGACGGUAAUGGGUAAAGAAGCACCGGCUAACUACGUGCCAGCAGCCGCGGUGAUACGUAGGGUGCGAGCGUUGUCCGGAUUUAUUGGGCGUAAAGGGCUCGUAGGUGGUUGAUCGCGUCGGAAGUGUAAUCUUGGGGCUUAACCCUGAGCGUGCUUUCGAUACGGGUUGACUUGAGGAAGGUAGGGGAGAAUGGAAUUCCUGGUGGAGCGGUGGAAUGCGCAGAUAUCAGGAGGAACACCAGUGGCGAAGGCGGUUCUCUGGGCCUUUCCUGACGCUGAGGAGCGAAAGCGUGGGGAGCGAACAGGCUUAGAUACCCUGGUAGUCCACGCUGUAAACGGUGGGUACUAGGUGUGGGGUCCAUUCCACGGGUUCCGUGCCGUAGCUAACGCUUUAAGUACCCCGCCUGGGGAGUACGGCCGCAAGGCUAAAACUCAAAGGAAUUGACGGGGCCCCGCACAAGCGGCGGAGCAUGCGGAUUAAUUCGAUGCAACGCGUAGAACCUUACCUGGGUUUGACAUGGAUCGGGAGUGCUCAGAGAUGGGUGUGCCUCUUUUGGGGUCGGUUCACAGGUGGUGCAUGGCUGUCGUCAGCUCGUGUCGUGAGAUGUUGGGUUAAGUCCCGCAACGAGCGCAACCCUUGUUCACUGUUGCCAGCACGUUAUGGUGGGGACUCAGUGGAGACCGCCGGGGUCAACUCGGAGGAAGGUGGGGAUGACGUCAAGUCAUCAUGCCCCUUAUGUCCAGGGCUUCACGCAUGCUACAAUGGCUGGUACAGAGAGUGGCGAGCCUGUGAGGGUGAGCGAAUCUCGGAAAGCCGGUCUCAGUUCGGAUUGGGGUCUGCAACUCGACCUCAUGAAGUCGGAGUCGCUAGUAAUCGCAGAUCAGCAACGCUGCGGUGAAUACGUUCCCGGGGGCU